AGCGAACGCUGGCGGCAGGCCUAACACAUGCAAGUCGAACGAACCUUUCGGGGUUAGUGGCGGACGGGUGAGUAACACGUGGGAACGUGCCUUUAGGUUCGGAAUAACUCAGGGAAACUUGUGCUAAUACCGAAUGUGCCCUUCGGGGGAAAGAUUAAUCGCCUUUAGAGCGGCCCGCGUCUGAUUAGCUAGUUGGUUGAGGUAAUGGCUCACCAAGGCGACGAUCAGUAGCUGGUCUGAGAGGAUGAUCAUCCACAUUGGGACUGAGACACGGCCCAAACUCCUACGGGAGGCAGCAGUGGGGAAUCUUGCGCAAUGGGCGAAAGCCUGACGCAGCCAUGCCGCGUGAAUGAUGAAGGUCUUAGGAUUGUAAAAUUCUUUCACCGGGGACGAUAAUGACGGUACCCGGAGAAGAAGCCCCGGCUAACUUCGUG
RNAcentral lists this ribosomal RNA (434 nucleotides) under uncultured bacterium. RNAcentral describes it as "partial 16S ribosomal RNA". It matches the Rfam family "Bacterial small subunit ribosomal RNA", at positions 29 to 507 of the family's 1533-position model. The record is from RNAcentral.